Cimex lectularius (bed bug) is the source of this 754-nucleotide long non-coding RNA. RefSeq lists it as uncharacterized. The transcript is spliced from 3 exons. NCBI's taxonomy places the organism in Eukaryota, Metazoa, Arthropoda, Insecta, Hemiptera, Cimicidae. The record is from RefSeq and is a predicted model, not a curated record.
CAUCAUGCCAACCGUGGUCCAGGGGCUACCAGCGAGGUCAUUUCAGCUCCCAACCCAUGACAUUAUUCGUGCGUGCAUGCGCACAUACGCGAUUGACUCAAGGCGGGUUAUGUGCGGUUGAGGUGUUUUAAACAAAACUGGACACGAAAGGAAAAAAGCCAACCAUGGAAACUGCUAUCUUUCGGCCCCUCUCCAAAAUAACGUAAGCUCUGUCUAAAAGAGCUGAGAAAUCUCUUAUCCGGGUAAAACGGUAUAAAUUAAACAAGGGAUACAAAGAUGUGUCACCUGGGUAAUGUUUUGGUGUAUGGCUUUAUUACACAUUUUAAAGGUAAAUUGUGAAUGAUCAUAUCCUGUAGAAUUAUGCUGUUUUAAUUAGACAUACUUCUCUAGUGUUUAAAUUAAGGAAUUCAUGUCAAAUUUAUCGUGGUUCAAUGUUUAGCCGUAAAUCAAUUUGUUUCAUCUUUUUUUUUUCAAAACAAUACGAUUUUGAAUGUAGCGAACAGACUUAAUAAGAAAACAAACGCACCUGAUAUUAAGAAAAAAUUUAAUAUGGUAUAAAACAAUUUUUUUUUGUUAGAUAAAAUCUCAUAUAGGGACCAUUCUCGUAUUACAUUUUGUAAGUACCAUGCUACAAACAAAUUUUAACUAUAAAACACAAGGCGAUGAGUUUAUCCGAUGAAGAAUGUUUUUGAUACAAUCUGGUGUAAAGGUUUUGUUUACUGUCUAAUAUGAUGAAAUUUUGUAUGCUACAUCA